GACGAACGCUGGCGGCGUGCUUAACACAUGCAAGUCGAGGGGCAGCAUAGGGUAGCAAUACUCUGAUGGCGACCGGCAAACGGGUGAGUAACGCGUAUGCAACCUACCCUGUACAGGGGGAUAACCCGGAGAAAUUCGGACUAAUAUCCCGUAAUAAUAUCCGGAGGCAUCUUUGGAUAUUUAAAGUUUCGACGGUACGGGAUGGGCAUGCGUAACAUUAGCUGGUUGGUAAGGUAACGGCUUACCAAGGCUAUGAUGUUUAGGGGUCCUGAGAGGGUGGUCCCCCACACUGGUACUGAGACACGGACCAGACUCCUACGGGAGCAGCAGUGAGGAAUAUUGGUCAAUGGGCGCAAGCCUGAACCAGCCAUCCCGCGUGCAGGAAGACGGCCCUAUGGGUUGUAAACUGCUUUUCCAGGGAGAGAACUUACGCACGUGUUGCGUGACUGACGGUACCCUGGGAAUAAGCAUCGGCUAACUCCGUGCCAGCAGCCGCGGUAAACGUAGCGU
Molecule: ribosomal RNA, 510 nt
Filed under: uncultured bacterium
Lineage: Bacteria
Description: bacterial SSU rRNA
Rfam family: Bacterial small subunit ribosomal RNA
Source: RNAcentral